UCCUUAGUACGAGAGGACCGGGAUGGACGUACCUCUGGUGUACCAGUUGUCCUGCCAAGGGCAUGGUUGGGUAGCUAUGUACGGAAUGGAUAAGCGCUGAAAGCAUCUAAGCGCGAAGCCAACUUCAAGAUAAGAUUUCCCACCGCAAGGGUAAGACCCCAGAAAGACUAUCUGGUUGAUAGGUCGAAGGUGUAAGUGCAGCAAUGUAUUUAGCUUAUCGAUACUAAUAGGUCGAGGACUUGACCAAU
Molecule: ribosomal RNA, 248 nt
Filed under: Clostridioides difficile
Lineage: Bacteria; Bacillati; Bacillota; Clostridia; Peptostreptococcales; Peptostreptococcaceae
Description: partial 23S ribosomal RNA
Rfam family: Bacterial large subunit ribosomal RNA
Source: RNAcentral